RNAcentral lists this long non-coding RNA (366 nucleotides) under Eucalyptus grandis. RNAcentral's name for it is "long non-coding RNA (EGRA_LNC006382)". Lineage: Eukaryota; Viridiplantae; Streptophyta; Magnoliopsida; Myrtales; Myrtaceae. The record is from RNAcentral.
ACCAAUAUCUAGUAAUCAAGUUUCAUCAUUUUGGUUUUUAAUCUGCAAGCAAAUACUAGAAAACUUGAUGAUGAGUAGCUAUUGGAUGUAACACAUGAUUGUAAUGGUUUUUUCAGAAUUUUGUAAUGAUGUUCGUCCUUUUUGGUGACAAUCCCACAUGAUCAAGAAAGAAGCUUCCCAUCUUUUUUAGGGUUCGCCGUCUUCAGCCGAUACUUUGGAGCGCGGCCUUUUAUAUUUGGAAGAUUCCAAGGAAAAGUGGAUUUGUCAGCUCAUAACUCCUUAUCUCCCCAAGCCGGGAAAAGCCUUUUUGCCUCCCCUACUUUUAAUAUAUUCCCGGUUUACAGGUUCUAGAAACCCACCCAAAUA